This 498-nucleotide ribosomal RNA is filed under the name uncultured bacterium. Its description in RNAcentral is "partial 16S ribosomal RNA". It matches the Rfam family "Bacterial small subunit ribosomal RNA", at positions 28 to 507 of the family's 1533-position model. The record is from RNAcentral.
GACGAACGCUGGCGGCGUGCCUAAUACAUGCAAGUCGAGCGGACGAAUCGAAAGCUUGCUUUUGAUUCGUUAGCGGCGGACGGGUGAGUAACACGUGGGCAACCUGCCCUGUAGACGGGGAUAACACCGAGAAAUCGGUGCUAAUACCGGAUAACACGAAAUGUCGCAUGACGUUUCGUUGAAAGACGGCGCAAGCUGCCGCUACAGGAUGGGCCCGCGGCGCAUUAGCUAGUUGGUGAGGUAACGGCUCACCAAGGCGACGAUUCGUAGCCGACCUGAGAGGGUGAUCGGCCACACUGGGACUGAGACACGGCCCAGACUCCUACGGGAGGCAGCAGUAGGGAAUCUUCCGCAAUGGACGAAAGUCUGACGGAGCAACGCCGCGUGAGCGAAGAAGGCCUUCGGGUCGUAAAGCUCUGUUGUUAGGGAAGAACAAGUAACGCAGUAACUGGCGUUACCGUGACGGUACCUAACGAGAAAGCCACGGCUAACUACGUG